GCCCGUGUAGCUUAGUGGUAAAGCAGCGCUUUCGUAAAGCGACGACGGAGGUUCGAUUCCUCCCAUGGGCU
This 71-nucleotide transfer RNA is filed under the name Candidatus Doudnabacteria bacterium CG10_big_fil_rev_8_21_14_0_10_41_10. RNAcentral's name for it is "tRNA-Thr". It matches the Rfam family "tRNA". Rfam says of the family: Transfer RNA (tRNA) molecules are approximately 80 nucleotides in length. Their secondary structure includes four short double-helical elements and three loops (D, anti-codon, and T loops). Lineage: Bacteria; Candidatus Doudnaibacteriota. The record is from RNAcentral.